Molecule: long non-coding RNA, 1404 nt
Organism: Drosophila hydei
Lineage: Eukaryota; Metazoa; Arthropoda; Insecta; Diptera; Drosophilidae
Exons: 3
Source: RefSeq, a predicted model, not a curated record
UGGCGCCGCUUGUCAACAAAUAUUUGUGAUUAAGUGUUUAAAAUAUAUAAAUAUUAUAUAAAUCAUAAAAAGAUAUAAAAGGAUCGCUUGCUUAAAAGAGUUCUGCAGCAAGUUGCGAUUAGACCAGCAGUGACAGCUUCAAAAAUUCUGUGUCGGCAAAGGCUGCACAAAAUAAGAAAACUAAAGUUUCGGAUGUGUAGAAACAUUUUAAAAGGUCUGACGAUAAAAGAUUUACCAAGUGCCUGAAUUGCAGCAAGGAAUACAAAACCCGUGGCAACACAUCGAACUUGCAUGAUCAUCUUAAACGGUUUCACCCGAAUUUAGACAGCAAUGCUCCUGCUUUCAAUGUUCAAGCUGCUAAAAAUGCACAAGCAGCAGUUGCAGGUCGAGUAUGCGGUCAAUGGAGUCAUACUUUAAACGGGCUGUAUUGUAUGAUGCAAACUCCAAGCGUAAAAACGACAUUGACAAUAUCUUAACAGAGAUGGUUGUUAAGGAUGUUCAGCCCUUUAGUAUAGUAAAGAACGAGGGAUUUAUUUCCACGAUACAUAUUGUAAAAUUUUUCGUGAAAAGUUCUAUUACGAACGAAAACUUGAAACUUGUCGAAGAAAAUGGGGCGUAUACUUUGUUGCAAGAAGCCCCAACAAGGUGGAACAGCUUCCACGAUGUGAUUAAAAUAAUUUUAUUAACGCAUAAAGCUAUUGCUAGUUUGCUAUUAUCCCACUACAAUUCACUGCAGAGGAAAUCAACGUAUUAAAAGAUAUUGAGAAAAUAUUAGUAUUAUUUAAGGUGUCCGAAAAAGUUUCUGGUGGCUAAUACGUUACUAUAAAUACGUUAAUAAUACCAUCGGCAUAUGGAGUCCAUCGCCAAAUUCAAAAUCUUUCAACUGAGUUGGUAACUUCGGUAGGCCAAUAUAGGAAAGAUGCUAUGUUGGAGUCGAUAAAAAACGACUAUCUAUAUAUGAGCUAUGCACGGUAACGAGGAUGGCUACAAUUUUGGAUCCACGCUUCAAAAAAAAUGGGUGUAAAUCAAACGCAAAUGCUGAAGCUAAAUGCUAAGCAAGUACGACCAGUAAGGACCCACUCUUUGAUUUUUUGGACAAACGAUGCGCUACUAAAAAGAGGAAUGUCCGAUCUGAUGCAAUCAUAAUUAAAAGGCAGUAUCUGGAGAAAGACAUUGCCCCACAAGAAAUGGACCCUCUAUUAUGGAUCAAGUCAACCAGACAGAGUUUCCUUUAUUAAAAUUAGUGAUGUUUAAAUAUUUAUGCAUCCCCGCAACGUCUGUGGAGUUGGAAAGAGCUUUCAGUAAGGCGGGACAAAAUAUUUCUGAUAGGCGAACAAGGCUUAAAGAAGAACAUGUGAACGUUUUGCUGUUUUUGAACAAAAAUCUUUGGCUACAAUAAAAACA